Molecule: ribosomal RNA, 274 nt
Filed under: uncultured bacterium
Lineage: Bacteria
Description: partial 16S ribosomal RNA
Rfam family: Bacterial small subunit ribosomal RNA
Source: RNAcentral
AUACGGAGGGUGCAAGCGUUACUCGGAAUUACUGGGCGUAAAGGACGCGUAGGCGGUUUAGAAAGUCAGAUGUGAAAGCCUAUGGCUUAACCAUAGAACUGCAUCUGAAACUCCUAGACUAGAGUGAGGGAGAGGUCAGUGGAAUUAGUGGUGUAGGGGUAAAAUCCGUAGAGAUCACUAGGAAUACUCAUAGCGAAGGCGACUGACUGGAACUUUACUGACGCUCAGGCGUGAAAGCGUGGGGAGCAAACAGGAUUAGAAACCCUGGUAGUCC